Molecule: long non-coding RNA, 1385 nt
Organism: Gadus morhua (Atlantic cod)
Lineage: Eukaryota; Metazoa; Chordata; Actinopteri; Gadiformes; Gadidae
Exons: 4
Source: RefSeq, a predicted model, not a curated record
GAUAUCGUCAUUGAAAAAACAACAUUGGUUUUCUUUAAAAAAAAUAGGGACAUUUCCAAGUGACCCAACCCUUUUGACCGGUAGGGUACGUCAAUGUUCUCCAAGUGGUGCUGUGCGUGGAUGUCGUCUGGAAGUACACUCCAGGGCUGGCUUUACAGCGGAAGUAGAGGCGCUGGCAGUGUAACCACAACAGCAGCGCAGGCUGAGCCAUGUGAUGACAUCUGCUGGGAAUGCAUAGGCUUCAUCACCGCAGCGCAAACAAAGUGCGGAAGGAUAGCGGAAUAACCUAUGGUGUGUUACCCAGAGGGGCGCUGCAGUUUGGUUUGGUUAACCAUUGGAUGACCCCCAAAAGCAGAGCAAAGAGGAGAACAGACAGAGAAGAAUUGAAAAACAGCGUUUCUAUCAGGAAUUGUGAUCCCAUGUCUUCCGUUGCCGUUGGUCUCGGGUUCAUUCUGUCAGACUGGCUAAUGACUGUUUGGAUACAGUUGACUCAUUGGGAACACAUGUGAAGCGAACAGGACGACCCUGGGACAAACAGGUUUGGCACACACACCUGCCCGCAACGCCGCAACAUCACGUACCAAACCCUUUGAUACAAACCCAUGUCUGGUUAUAAUUACUUAGAGCUUGUUUACAUUUUUUGGGCCCGAGCAAUUAUGUGUGUGUGUGUUUGUGUGAAUUCCGAUGCACAUAUGCGUGCGAGCAUUCCUUAAUUUGAAAAAGCAGAGGGACAUUGCUUUAAUUUGUGUAACAUGUUGAACCAAGUCUUUCAAGACAGUUUGGAUCGUUUACGUCGUAGACUAAGUCCUACCUAGCCUGAGAAUAACCAAUAAGUACAGUGUCGGGAUGUAAGUGGGCCCUUAACAAUUAUAAGUACAUUGGGAACUUCAAUGUUGACAGCCUUCGACUUAAAAAUAAACCAGUCCAGCGGCUACAUGCGGGCUGUGUCCACACACUUGUGUUUUUUCAGAAGCGGGGCUUUUUGAAGUGACACUCACGGACGUCGGUGAGCUUACCUUCCUGUCAGAGCCUGCUGUCCACUUGGGUUUCAAGCACCAAAACACAUUUCACCCUCCAAAAAUAACCUGCCCGGGCGCGAGUGCGACUCCACUACAGCCACGGGGCAACAGGGCCGUCAUUAUACUAGAAGUGUCACUGGCUUUGGUACGGUGGAGGAAGGAGCCGACCGAAUCCUUCAAUGUCCCGGGUCACUUGGAGGUCUGCUUCCACCAGCUGCAGGCCAGAGGAGAGCCACGUCAGUGAUUUGCUGUCAGCAUCGUAAGUGACCCGCUCUAAUGUCUUUCCACCUUCCUCAUUCCCCCCCUGCAUGUAACGCAAUUAAUUCUGGCUUAAUUUGCAUUACCUUCUUGUUAAGACUUAGCCCG